Long non-coding RNA from Dermochelys coriacea (leatherback sea turtle), 241 nucleotides. RefSeq lists it as uncharacterized. The record is from RefSeq and is a predicted model, not a curated record. Lineage: Eukaryota; Metazoa; Chordata; Testudines; Dermochelyidae. The transcript is spliced from 3 exons.
AGAUGAAAUUCAAUAAAGACAAAUGCAAAGUACUCCAUUUAGGAAGGAACAAUCAGUUACACACAUACAAAAUGGGAAAUGGCUGCCUAGUAAGGAGUACUGCGAUAAGGGAUCUGGGGGUCUUUGUGCAUUGCAAGCUAAAUAUGAGACAACAGGGUAACAUUGUUGCAAAAAAAGCAAAUAUUCUGGGAUGUAUUCGCUGGAGUGUUGUAAACAAGACACAAAGUAAUUCUUCCAUGCU